RNAcentral lists this long non-coding RNA (271 nucleotides) under Saimiri boliviensis boliviensis (Bolivian squirrel monkey). RNAcentral describes it as "lncRNA (ENSSBOG00000036755.1)". The record is from RNAcentral. Lineage: Eukaryota; Metazoa; Chordata; Mammalia; Primates; Cebidae.
GGCGGGCCUGCCCGCUUCCGUUCCUGCUCCGCGUGAGGAGAGUCGCGAAGCGCGCGCGGAGACGCGGCAGCAAUUGCUUUGCUGCCCUUCCUCUCCUUGGAAGAUGGCAAGGCCUACCAUCCUUUCUUCCGGCCUUUGGGCCGUCAGGCAGUUGGUUGGGACCCGCCCCUACCUUCGAUUUUUCCUGCAAUACAGUGGAUACAAUUUGUCAUGGCUACUCUGAGGUAUGUUUAUUUAAUUGCAUGUAACUAAACCAGUAUAAACAAAAUUC